GUGCUUGCUUUGGUAGCACAUAUACUAAAAUUGGAAUGAUACAGAGAAGAUUAACAUGGCGCCCAUGCAAGGAUGAUUCUCAAAUUUGUGAAGUGUUCCAUAUUUUA
Ochotona princeps (American pika) is the source of this 107-nucleotide small nuclear RNA. NCBI's taxonomy places the organism in Eukaryota, Metazoa, Chordata, Mammalia, Lagomorpha, Ochotonidae. The record is from Ensembl.